AUACGGAGGAUCCGAGCGUUAUCCGGAUUUAUUGGGUUUAAAGGGAGCGUAGGUGGAUUGUUAAGUCAGUUGUGAAAGUUUGCGGCCCAACCGUAAAAUUGCAGUUGAAACUGGCAGUCUUGAGUACAGUAGAGGUGGGCGGAAUUCGUGGUGUAGCGGUGAAAUGCUUAGAUAUCACGAAGAACUCCGAUUGCGAAGGCAGCUCACUAGACUGUUACUGACACUGAUGCUCGAAAGUGUGGGUAUCAAACAGGAUUAGAUACCCUGGUAGUCCACACAGUAAACGAUGAAUACUCGCUGUUUGCGAUAUACAGUAAGCGGCCAAGCGAAAGCAUUAAGUAUUCCACCUGGGGAGUACGCCGGCAACGGUGAAACUCAAAUGAAUUGACGGGG
RNAcentral lists this ribosomal RNA (393 nucleotides) under uncultured bacterium. RNAcentral's name for it is "partial 16S ribosomal RNA". It matches the Rfam family "Bacterial small subunit ribosomal RNA", at positions 523 to 918 of the family's 1533-position model. The record is from RNAcentral.